This 460-nucleotide ribosomal RNA is filed under the name uncultured bacterium. Its description in RNAcentral is "partial 16S ribosomal RNA". It matches the Rfam family "Bacterial small subunit ribosomal RNA", at positions 338 to 795 of the family's 1533-position model. The record is from RNAcentral.
CCUACGGGAGGCAGCAGUGAGGAAUAUUGGUCAAUGGCCGAGAGGCUGAACCAGCCAAGUCGCGUGAGGGAAGAAUGUCCUAUGGACUGUAAACCUCUUUUGUCAGGGAGCAAAGUCACCCACGUGUGGGUGUUGGAGAGUACCUGAAGAAAAAGGAUCGGCUAACUCCGCUCCAGCCGCCGCGGUAAUACGGAGGAUGCGAGCGUUAUCCGGAUUUAUUGGGUUUAAAGGGAGCGUCGGUGGAUUGUUAAGUCAGUUGUGAAAGUUUGCGGCUCAACCGUAACAGUGCAGUUGAAACUGGCAGUCUUGAGUACAGUAGAGGUGAGCGGAAUUCGUGGUGUAGCGGUGAAAUGCUUAGAUAUCACGAAGAACUCCGAUUGCGAAGGCAGCUCACUGGACUGCAACUGACACUGAGGCUCGAAAGUGUGGGUAUCAAACAGGAUUAGAUACCCUUGUAGUC